This is a long non-coding RNA of Equus caballus (horse), 7478 nucleotides long. The record is from Ensembl. Lineage: Eukaryota; Metazoa; Chordata; Mammalia; Perissodactyla; Equidae.
UAAGAAUUCUGUCACUUCCCUCUGAACAGUGCUGAUUUUUGCGGUUAUUGUUUUAGCAGGACCAGGCAACUCCGUUAAAGUGAGGAAAGGCAGCACAGCCAACAGUAAACUCAACAGCAAAGGGUCUGAACUCUGAAAGGUGAGAAAACUGAAGCAAUACGGGUUAAGUAACUUUUUGGAUAACUUGCCUCUGGUAAGCAUCAGAGUGACAAUUGAAUCCCAAAGACUGGGACUUAAGUACGAAAAAGGAAAAAAAAAGUCAACCUCAAAACACAAAAAGAAUAUUAACUUCCGCAGUUAGCAUCUAUAUUUACUAACGAAUCAUGAUAGAAAGAAACGUUUGUUUCCCACCAAGUAUAUGUAUAAGCUCACAAGCAUUCUGCUGUUGUAUUUGCCACUCACAGAACGUGUUCAUGAUACUAAAUCGUAAAAUCUGUAAACCAAUACCAUUAUUGGGUUUAUAUUUUGGGUUAAACUGUUGACAUGUUCAAACAUUAUAAACGUCAAUAAUCAUGUUACAAGAAGAUAACUACUGGUGUGGAAACAACACUUACAUGUGGCCAUGGGUAAUGGGAGAGGGUCAGAAAUACAGUAUCAAAUCCCUGCAACACAGCAUGAGCUGGAUGCUGCAUAUUAAAGGGCAAAAAUAAGGUAGAGUGAUGAAAACAAGAAGAAGCUGGGUGUCCAAGGUAACUGUUGCCAUGUCAACACAUCAUAAACAGAUUGCCCUCCUUGGAGUAAGUUCAAGGAAUUUUCUGUCGCUCCUGCCCACGGAUUUGAACGUUCAGAAUGAAUUAAGUCUAAGCAAUUUUUAGAAAACUUCUACAUCCUAGAAGUCAAUGGCUACCAAACUGUGAGAAACAGGAAGCAGCGCUCUAGGCCUCACAAUCUAUACAGAAAAUGGAAGUUGAAUAUUAUGAGGAGAGACACACAUCAUUUCUGCUUAUAGUUCAUUGACGAGAAGUAGUUACAUGAUCUUACCUUACAGCAAGAGGCAGGGGCACGAUGGGAACAUACAUAGACACUUGAUGCUGAAUCACCAAAACAGAACAAAACAGGAAUACAAGAUUCCUUGUUAUGAUUUGGAUUCCUCAGAUCAGGCACACUUGGAUAAGACUUGAAUUCAAAACUGAGUUAAGUGAAAAGAGAAGCAAUGAACAGGCAUCCAUUUGUGCAUGUGUGUGUGUGUAUGUGUAGUAUAGCACAGGUGUUGUGAUUAUGAAGGAAGCAUCAGUAGUAGUGAAUUCCUGAUAUGGCAAGAAGUUUCCUGAUUAUGGCAGGAAAAGCAGUCCCUUUGGAAGCCUAGUUAUAUUGUUGGCUUGGAAAUUAUUCUUGGGAUCUCAACCUAGAGUCUAUUUCUAUUGCCUCCCAAUAAUUCAGUAAGAAAUUAAGUUCAUUAUAAUACAUUAUUUUCUGUGUAUGUUAGCUUGAGUGAGUCCUGUCUUUGCUACAAAUCUAUAACUAAUACAGCAGUUUGUGCCUGGUAAUAAGCCUCAAGGAAAUGGGCAUCUGGUAUUGAGUAUCUGGCCUGGUUGUGUUUGAAGACAAUGGGAAUCUUGCUAACAUAAGAAUAAAGAACACUGUUAUUCCAUCACAUGCUGUAUCAAAGCAGCAAAUUAAAUGAUUAUCAGUAGCCUCCUGGGAGAAAGUGUUUAUUGAAUGAGAACAUUUGAUCAGCUGAUUAACUGCUACAAUAUACCUUAUGACAAAAAUGAAGAAUGAAUGAGUUCUGGAGUGAGUGAACUGCUUCAGCUGUGCUGGAGAGUGCAGAAAAGGAAAAGGACAAGCCCAAGUUUUAAAGUCCUACUCAAAACAGCAUCCCAGGUCCAGAGAAUUUCUCUGAGUGCCCCAAAAGAAUUAUAAUCUCUUAUGCAGUGAGGGCAUAGGCUUAGCACCCAUGAUAAUCAGUGUAUUAAUCAGAAUGGCUAAGCUGUUCUGCAUUAAAAAACAAACCCCCAAAAUCUAAGUAGCUCAAAAUAAAAUAGUUUAAACUCCCUGUCCAUUGCUGGUGAGGGAGAGGCUUCUUCAUAGCCUCGAAAGGACACACACUGUUGAUGCAGCAGCUACCUUCUUGAACAUAGUGGCUAUGCUAGUUGUAAAGAAAGUCUGGAAUGUCUUGUAUCAGAAAUUAAAUACUCUAUCCUUGAAGUUGUGCAUACAAGUCAACUCACAACUGACUGAACAUAAACAAUAAUAUGGUUCUACCCCCCCCAAAGGAGUUAGUAAUUGCCAUCAUAGGACAUGUCUAGAGAAUCAAAAAUGAAAUAGUCACUGAAUAUUGGUGAACAGUGGUAACAAUUACCACAAUUGCACAGAGAGUCUAAUGCUAUUGAUUGCUACAUUAAGGUGUUGGAAACCUUUAUAGUCUUGACAAAUGUCUAAUGAGAAAAUUAAUGUGUUUAUUGGAAAAUAAUGAGCCCUCAAAAAUUAGAAUUGGAAGAUUUCAGUGGAUUCAGUUGACUCGGAAGUCCUGGGAUGCCCAAUGAGCUUUCCUUGCCCAUAGAAGUAGCUUUUUCUCCCAAGUGAUGAGGCUAAUUUUGAUUUGCCUUAAGACCUGGGAUAAUGUUACCUCAAGGAGAUACCUGCUCUCUAGCCUUAUCAUUAAUACUCCUGCACUGUAUGUACCUCUGUAGAGAGGGAUCUUAGGAUGACCUGGAGAUAAAGUUUAUUCAUCAUAGUCGAUUUUGAACUGAGGAAAAUGUAUGGGAGUUAAUUACAAAUAUGCUAGACGAAGGUGGAAAGAACACAAUUUUAGUUUGGGAUAAAUAUGUUUAUAAGGCUGCACUUCCCAGAGAAUAUGAAUAUUAUUUCUAACAGAGACAUCUGAAAAUCUCUCUGUUUUGUUGGUUGGUUUCUUAAACAUGGGCCCAAAUAUGAUUUAUACUAAAUUGUCAAAAUGCCAACAUUUCCAAAGUAAAACAUCAAAGAAGGGAUCCUAACACCUCCACGAGUUAACAAUGUUGGAGUGGCUUAGUCAUGUAUGAUUAAUUUAUAUAUCCACUGACUAUGACUCCUGAGAGAACACAAGGGAGAUUCCUUUCACCAACUCAUUGAGAAAUGCAUUGGUGAGGAAGUCAUAGUAUACUAUUUUCUAUUCUUUUAGUAGGAUGAGGAGGGUUGUAUCGAUUUGGGUCUGAUUUUAAUGAGUAUGAUGAGAUCUCAGAAUUCGGAGGCCAAGUGGAAACAUUGAAUGGACAGAAACAAGGGCAUCAUGGUUUUCAUAAUAAGUAACAAAAGAGCCGUCAGAAUUUGUGACUGAUGGUUCAUGGAAUACCAAAGAUUAACAUAGAUGGGCAGUCCACUAAGGUCUUACUUUAAUUUUUAUACUUAUAACUACUAUCUUUAUAAUUUCAAAUUUUACAUUGUAUUUAUUAUAAAAAGUAUAUUAUUUAUAACUAGAAAUAUUCUAAAGGUUAUAGAAGUCUCUGAAUUCAGUGCAUCAACCUCUAUGGCACUGGCUCUGCCAGUCCACCCACAUUUGUGCAUGCCCACUGGUCCUAUGACCAGUUGAUUGAGAAAUUUAAAAAAAGAAUUUGGUUUACAAACAGUUAUUCAUUAUAUACUAGAAGUAGUUAAAAGAGUGCCUGUAAUGCUGCAACAGCCCACUGUUUGGAAAGGAGAGGGGAGAAAGUUCUGCCAUUCAGCAGCAAUUCGAAUGAGGCACAUUGCUGUCACAAUGCAUGGAAGGAACAUGGCUGCAAGUAUGAAGUAAUAUAUGUUCAAAAACAAUAGGCGAUAGUUUGGCUAGAUGGUCAGGGCAUAACAGAGAAAAAUAUUAAAAAAUAGGUAGAUUACAAAGAGGUUUGAGGAAGAGGUAAGUUUGUGAACUUCUCAAAAUCGACCCAGAGUGAGAGGAUAUUUGUGUGUUAUAUGCUUCUCUUGGUAGGAGAAGCUCUAAGUCAGGUGAGUAAGAUGGCCUCUUUUUUAAUGAUAUUACUUGGCUUCUUUUCCAAGGCAUCCCACACUCGCUUAAAGGGGUCAGGGCAAAAGUGCUCAUGUUGUUGGGGACAGAAAUUAUGGAUGAGUGCACUCACACUGCUUUGCUCUUCACAAUCCAGCUAUGCCACUCGGUGUGUCCAACGCCAGCAGCCAUGAGGAACAUGGAGGGCUCCAAAUAGCAAUAUAUCUCUAGAGGACCAGUUAGUUAACUUGGGGCUUGUCAAAUAUGGAAAGUUUUCUUACUUGAAGAGACACCUAUUGUGGUUUAUGCAUCUCUCCCUGCCAUGUUUCUGCCAACAAUGCUACCAUAAACUUAACAUCAGGAUUCAACAUCAGGAUAUUCCACUUCUGAGUGAAUGAACUCGUUUCCCAGACAAAGUAAUGAGGCAGCUGGUUUAUACCCAUAGAACUCACCAGUCUUACUCUACCACCUAUAAGUAACUACUUGUAUGCACUCUUAAAGACUCUGUUAUUGCGAUGGUUACAAACAAAACUUUGAAAGCAUGAUGUCCUAGAGGUGACAGAAUAUUCUGCAAAUCAGUGACCAAUAUAUGAGGCUGGGCUAGUUCUCUCAUACUCAGAGCACAUGGAACUGGAAUCAAGUAAAUUAGAAGUAGCAUUUCUUUUUUUCUUUUUCUUUUUCUUUUUUUUUUUUUUUUAAAGAUUGGCACCUGGCUAACAACUGUUGCCAAUCUUUUUUUUUUUUUUUUUCUGCUUUAUCUCCCCAACCCCCCCUGUACACAGUUGUAUAUCUUAGUUGCACGUCCUUCUAGUUGUGGGAUGUGGGACACCACCUCAAUGUGGCCUAACGAGCGGUGCCAUGUCCGCGCCCAGGAUGCGAACCCUGGGCCGCUGCAGCAGGGCACGCGAACUUAACCACUUGGCCACAGAGCCAGCCCCUGAAGUAGCAUUUCUUAUACCUAGUGAGUAAUUCACAAUAUAUUUUCUCCUUUUCCUUGCAUAACAGAGUUCUGUUAGUUUAGAGUUCUUAGAUAAAUGCCUCCACUAGAUAAAGCCAUAGUGAUGCCGUUGAAUUUGUCAUUGAGAUCUCUAGCUGGUCAUUUUGGGCUCCUCAUGCUGCUAGACCAACAAACCAAAAAAGGGGACUAAUACUACGUUAUCUGGGAUAACUGAUUAUGAUUAUCAUGGGCAAAUGGGUUGUUUUAACACAAUGAGGGGAGGAGGAGUGUUUCAUGUACUGCCAUGACAAGUGUUAUUAGUGAAAGAUGGGAGUAACCACACAUAUGCAGGAGCAUCAAAAGUCAGAUCCUUUACGAAUAAAGUUUUAGGCCACCUGAACAGUAAAACAUACUUAAGAGUAAGGGCCAGUCCGGUGGUGUAGUGGUCAAGUUUGUGCACUGUGCUUCAGCAGCCCGGGGGUUCACAAGUUCAGAACCCCGGGCCCGGACCUGCACACUGGUAAUCAAAGCAUGUUGUGACAGGCAUCCUACAUAUAAGAUAGAGGAAGAUGGACACAGAUGUUAGCUCAGGGCUAAUCUUCCUCACCAAAAAAAAUACUGAAGAAUAGAGGUAGUAACUGUGAACAAAGGAAAUACAGAAUGAAUGGAGGAAGGAACAAGUUGAAAAUCUAAUUAUUACCUAAUACAAAUAUAGAGCCUAAGGCAGCUAUCCUUAUAUUCUUCCUUUAUGCCUUCAUGUUAACCAAAUUUCUUUUAUUUCUCUCUCUUUGUCAAACUAUUGUAGAUAGGAUAUAUUAGUGUUACUUUUAUCCACAAGGUAAAUAUCAUGGCUAUCAUGAUGGCAUUCUAAUUAAACUAAGAAACAAAUGAACAUCAGGCAGACUGUGCUUUUAGAGUAAAAUCGGGAUACUAUUUCAUUUGUAUGAAAGAUGUUGUAUUUAUUAGGAAGGUACCUGUUGUUACCAACUAUUGCUGUUUAGAAAUUUAAGGGUGGAAGUGGGUUAUUGAGUGGCAAGUGUUGGACUGUAGUAGAUAUACAAUAUUGAUUUGAUAAUGAUCCAUUCUAACUACUUUCUAAGAAAAUUCCUACAACAAGGGGCUCAAAAGCCAAAAAAUUUAUUUUCUAAUCUUCCUUGAACAUAGAAUUUCAAAUAUGAUCUUGGUCCUGCAAAUCAGAUAGACUUGAGCAAAACUUACAUUUAGAAUUAAAUUCUGUGGGAAAAGGGGCAGGGCUUGAGGCAUCCAUUUUCGCACGUGAGAAUUACGUCAGAGGUGAUGCGGAGCUGCAGCAGUGACUUCCUGUUGCUAAACUACCUUUCUCACCAAUCGUAGAAGGAACAGAGGCUUUCUUGGCAACCUGGCUCUGGAGCAUAUUUUUGGUAAUAGUUCCUGAAAGAUCAGGAUAGAGACAGUUUUUUCAGCCCCUCCCAAACUCCUGUAUGUAUUUACUGCUGCAGAAUAAAUCCUUUCCUGCUAACAUAAAAUAGAGCGAAUUCUCUUCUCUUCAACUGAAUUCUAAAUCAUUUAUUAACUGAACGUGUAAUACCAACUACAGUAAUCCCGAGGCAGGAGGGAUGAGGGCACAUGCGUGUGGUGAUGGAUGGUAAUUAGCUUUUGGGUGGUCCACGUGAUGUAGUCUACACAGAAAUCAAAAUAUAAUGAUGCACACCUGAAAUUUGUAUAAUUUUAUAAACCAGUGUUACCUCAAUAAAAAAAGAAAGUGUAUUAAUGAUAUUGUUAUUAUGAUAUAAAAUGUGUGUGUGUGUGUAUAUAUAUAUAUAUAUAUAUAUUUUGGUGAGAAAGAUUGUUUCUGAGCUAACAUCUGUGCCAAUCUUCUUCUAUUUUCUAUGUGGGAUGCUGCCACAGCAUGGCUGGAUGAGCGGUUUGGAGGUCAGCACCUGGGAUCUGAACCCGUGAACCCCAGGCUGCCAAAGAGGAGAGCAUGAAUUUAAACCACUGUAUUACCGGACCAGCCCGAAGUACAAUAUGUUUUAAAAGAACCACGAUAUGACCUUAUAUUGAACUUUAAAAAUAUCUGACGUUGUCUUUUCUAUGCCUAACAGAAAUUUUACCAUGAAUAAAAUAAUGACAUUCAUGGAAUGAGAGUUAACGUUUUUUGAGUGCUGCUCCUGUGCCAAGGAUGAAACUAGACACAUCAAUGCUCCUGUGCGUCCGCCCACAGCCUGCUUGUCUUCCCCAUCCACACCUCUGUGUCAGACAGUGACAUUAUCAUUUUUUACUGAAUCCAGCUUUCGUUUGCCUGCUUCUGAGAUUUUGCUAAGGCUUUUCAUCUUUUUGGUAUGGAUUCAACUUGUCGUACUUGAAUCUACUUUUAGGAUUUCACUAAGGUUGGAUUCCCCAGGUGUAGCAUCUGAAACAGGUCCGUGAGAUAUGUUGGGGGAGUGCUCUCAGGAGAAAGAGAAUGGAGAAGCAGCAUCAAGCAAAGAAAGCAGCUAAGCAAGGAUGUGCUGUCCACUAGAGCUUAGCUUUAAUUGCCCUACCCUUUGGCUGGCACUUCUGUGAGUCUUGGUGGCUUUUCAUGGCGGAUGAUCCAAACCAUCAAGUCAAAGGAGACUUAAGUCCAUUUUUAUGAUGCCCUUGUUAGUCCUCGGAUGCUUU